GUCUACGGCCAUACCACCCUGAACGCGCCCGAUCUCGUCUGAUCUCGGAAGGAGAGGGGAGUUGGGGGAAAUUGGAAAGGGAGGUGAACC
RNAcentral lists this ribosomal RNA (90 nucleotides) under Mustela putorius furo (domestic ferret). Lineage: Eukaryota; Metazoa; Chordata; Mammalia; Carnivora; Mustelidae. The record is from RNAcentral.